GGAGUCACGCCGAAAUCUUACCCGGAGAGACAGCAGAAUGAAGGUCAAGCUGAAGACUUUACCAGACAAGCUGAGAGGUGGUGCAUGGCCGUCGCCAGCUCGUGCCGUGAGAUGUCCUGUUAAGUCAGGUAACGAGCGAGAUCCUCGCCACUAGUUGCUAUCGUUAUUCUCAGGAAUAGUGGGGCGAAUUAGUGGGACUGCCGUUGUUAAAACGGAGGAAGGAGGGGGCUACGGCAGGUCAGUAUGCCCCGAAACUCUGGGGCCACACGCGGGCUGCAAUGGUAGCGAUAAUGAGCUCCAAACUCGAAAGAGAGUGGCAAUCUCUAAACGCUACCACAGUUAUGACUGAGGGCUGUAACUCGCCCUCACGAAUAUGGAAUCCCUAGUAACCGCGUGUCAUUACCGCGCGGUGAAUACGUCCCUGCUCCUUGCACACACCGCCCGUCGUUUCAUCGAAGUUUGCUUUUAGCGAGGUGAUGUUUAAUUGACAUUAUCGAACUUGAGGUAAGUGACGAGGGAAAAGUCGUAACAAGGUGACCGUAGGGGAACCUGCGGUCGGAUCA
RNAcentral lists this ribosomal RNA (563 nucleotides) under uncultured crenarchaeote. RNAcentral describes it as "bacterial SSU rRNA". It matches the Rfam family "Archaeal small subunit ribosomal RNA", at positions 908 to 1472 of the family's 1478-position model. Lineage: Archaea; Thermoproteati; Thermoproteota. The record is from RNAcentral.